This 254-nucleotide ribosomal RNA is filed under the name uncultured bacterium. RNAcentral describes it as "partial 16S ribosomal RNA". It matches the Rfam family "Bacterial small subunit ribosomal RNA", at positions 524 to 776 of the family's 1533-position model. The record is from RNAcentral.
UACGUAGGGUGCAAGCAUUAAUCGGAAUUAUUGGGCGUAAAGGGCGCGUAGGCGGGGAUAUAAGUCAGAUGUGAAAUUCCAAAGCUCAACUUUGGAGCUGCAUUUGAAACUAUAUCUCUUAGAGGGAUGGCGGAGAAAGCGGAAUUCCACGUGUAGCGGUGAAAUGCGUAGAUAUGUGGAAGAACACCGGUGGCGAAAGCGGCUUUCUAGCUUAUACCUGACGCUGAGGCGCGAGAGCAAGGGGAGCAAACAGG